CAGGGAUUGCCCUAGUAACGGCGAGUGAAGCGGCAACAGCUCAAAUUUGAAAUCUGGCGUCUUCGGCGUCCGAGUUGUAAUUUGCAGAGGGCGCUUUGGCAUUGGCAGCGGUCCAAGUUCCUUGGAACAGGACGUCACAGAGGGUGAGAAUCCCGUACGUGGUCGCUAGCCUUUACCGUGUAAAGCCCCUUCGACGAGUCGAGUUGUUUGGGAAUGCAGCUCUAAAUGGGAGGUAAAUUUCUUCUAAAGCUAAAUACUGGCCAGAGACCGAUAGCGCACAAGUAGAGUGAUCGAAAGAUGAAAAGCACUUUGGAAAGAGAGUUAAAAAGCACGUGAAAUUGUUGAAAGGGAAGCGCUUGCAGCCAGACUUGCCUGUAGUUGCUCAUCCGGGUUUCUACCCGGUGCACUCUUCUAUAGGCAGGCCAGCAUCAGUUUGGGCGGUUGGAUAAAGGUCUCUGUCAUGUACCUCCUCUCGGGGAGAACUUAUAGGGGAGACGACAUGCAACCAGCCUGGACUGAGGUCCGCGCAUCUGCUAGGAUGCUGGCGUAAUGGCUGUAAGCGGCCCGUCUUGAAACACGGACCAAGGAGUCUAACAUCUAUGCGAGUGUUUGGGUGUCAAGCCCGAGCGCGUAAUGAAAGUGAACGGAGGUGGGAACCUUUCGGGGUGCACCAUCGACCGAUCCUGAUGUCUUCGGAUGGAUUUGAGUAAGAGCAUAGCUGUUGGGACCCGAAAGAUGGUGAACUAUGCUUGAAUAGGGUGAAGCCAGAGGAAACUCUGGUGGAGGCUCGCAGCGGUUCUGACGUGCAAAUCGAUCGUCAAAUUUGGGCAUA
Molecule: ribosomal RNA, 832 nt
Filed under: Epicoccum sp.
Lineage: Eukaryota; Fungi; Ascomycota; Dothideomycetes; Pleosporales; Didymellaceae
Description: partial large subunit ribosomal RNA
Rfam family: Eukaryotic large subunit ribosomal RNA
Source: RNAcentral